This 253-nucleotide ribosomal RNA is filed under the name uncultured bacterium. Its description in RNAcentral is "partial 16S ribosomal RNA". It matches the Rfam family "Bacterial small subunit ribosomal RNA", at positions 524 to 776 of the family's 1533-position model. The record is from RNAcentral.
UACGUAGGUGGCAAGCGUUGUCCGGAAUUAUUGGGCGUAAAGGGCGCGUAGGCGGUUCGUACAGUCAGACGUGAAAUUCCUGGGCUCAACCUGGGGGCUGCGUUUGAUACGUGCGGGCUUGAGUUCGGAAGAGGGUCGUGGAAUUCCCAGUGUAGAGGUGAAAUUCGUAGAUAUUGGGAAGAACACCGGUGGCGAAGGCGGCGACCUGGUCCGAUACUGACGCUGAGGCGCGAAAGCGUGGGGAGCAAACAGG